ACGGGAGGCAGCAGUGGGGAAUAUUGCACAAUGGGCGAAAGCCUGAUGCAGCGACGCCGCGUGAACGAUGAAGUAUUUCGGUAUGUGAAGUUCUAUCAGCAGGGAAGAUAAUGACGGUACCUGACUAAGAAGCACCGGCUAAAUACGUGCCAGCAGCCGCGGUAAUACGUAUGGUGCAAGCGUUAUCCGGAUUUACUGGGUGUAAAGGGAGCGUAGGCGGCUUUGCAAGUCUGAUGUGAAAGCCCGGGGCUCAACUCCGGUAUUGCAUUGGAAACUGUAGAGCUAGAGUGUCGGAGGGGUAAGUGGAAUUCCUAGUGUAGCGGUGAAAUGCGUAGAUAUUAGGAGGAACACCAGUGGCGAAGGCGGCUUACUGGACGAUUACUGACGCUGAGGCUCGAAAGCGUGGGGAGCAAACAGGAUUAGAUACCCUGGUA
RNAcentral lists this ribosomal RNA (434 nucleotides) under uncultured Lachnospiraceae bacterium. RNAcentral's name for it is "partial 16S ribosomal RNA". It matches the Rfam family "Bacterial small subunit ribosomal RNA", at positions 341 to 792 of the family's 1533-position model. Lineage: Bacteria; Bacillati; Bacillota; Clostridia; Lachnospirales; Lachnospiraceae. The record is from RNAcentral.